RNAcentral lists this ribosomal RNA (803 nucleotides) under uncultured archaeon. RNAcentral's name for it is "bacterial SSU rRNA". It matches the Rfam family "Archaeal small subunit ribosomal RNA", at positions 88 to 893 of the family's 1478-position model. The record is from RNAcentral.
GCUCAGUAACACGUGGACAACGUGCCCUAAAGUGGAGCAUAAUCUCGGGAAACUGAGGAUAAUUCUCCAUAGACCAUGAGAUCUGGAACGACUUAUGGUUCAAAGUUCCGGCGCUUUAGGAUCGGUCUGCGGCCUAUCAGGUAGUAGUGGGUGUAACGUACCCCCUAGCCAAUUACGGGUAUGGGCCUUGAGAGAGGGAGCCCAGAGUUGGAUUCUGAGACACGAAUCCAGGCCCUACGGGGCGCAGCAGUCGCGAAAACUUCACAAUGGGCGAAAGCCCGAUGAGGGAAUUCCUAGUGCUAGCACAUUUGUGUUAGCUUUUCCUUAGCGUAGAUAACUAGGGGAAUAAGGGCUGGGUAAGACGGGUGCCAGCCGCCGCGGUAAUACCCGCAGCCCGAGUGGUGGUCGAUUUUAUUGAGUCUAAAACGUUCGUAGCCGGUCUGAUAAAUCCUUGGGUAAAUCGGGAAGCUUAACUUUCCGAAUUCCGAGGAGACUGUCAGGCUUGGGAUCGGGAGAGGUAUGAGGUACUUCAGGGGUAGGGGUAAAAUCCUGUAAUCCUUGGAGGACCACCGGUGGCGAAGGCGUCAUACUAGAACGAAUCCGACGGUGAGGGACGAAGCCCUAGGUCGCAAACGGGAUUAGAUACCCCGGUAGUCUAGGGUGUAAACGCUGCAGACUUGGUGUUGGGGGCCCUUCGGGGGCAUUCAGUGCCGGAGAGAAGUUGUUAAGUCUGCUACUUGGGGAGUACGUCCGCAAGGAUGAAACUUAAAGGAAUUGGCGGGGGAGCACAAUCUCCCUGGUUC